UGGCGGCAUGGCUUUACACCCAAACCAUCUUGGUGCUUCAUGACAGCCAGAUCCCUCACCUCACUGCCCGAGAUGGCAGCCACAUGAGACAGGCCCUGGAAAUAACAGUGCCACUGGAGACCUUGAGGAAGGGGGUCCCUUUGAAAUUUGGUGACCAACAUCCAUCCAUCUCAGCUCUGUCCUGGAGGUCAGCUAAGAUCAUGGGCCACAUUCAGCAUUCUUCAACAAACACUCUGUUGCCUGUGCCCAGAGACCCAGAUGCUGGAACCUGACCGCCCGGAUCUAAUUCUAGUCCCACCACUUACCAGCUGG
Molecule: long non-coding RNA, 312 nt
Filed under: Homo sapiens (human)
Lineage: Eukaryota; Metazoa; Chordata; Mammalia; Primates; Hominidae
Description: HSALNT0357501
Source: RNAcentral